This 334-nucleotide unclassified non-coding RNA is filed under the name soil metagenome. RNAcentral's name for it is "partial contains 5.8S ribosomal RNA, internal transcribed spacer 2, and large subunit ribosomal RNA". The stretch from base 1 to 120 matches the Rfam family "5.8S ribosomal RNA", at positions 35 to 154 of the family's 154-position model. The record is from RNAcentral.
GAUGAAGAACGUAGCGAAAUGCGAUAAGUAAUGUGAAUUGCAGAAUUCAGUGAAUCAUCGAAUCUUUGAACGCACAUUGCGCCCCCCAGUAUUCUGGCGGGCAUGCCUGUUCGAGCGUCAUUUCAACCAUCAAGCCCUGCUUGUGUUGGGGUCCUGCGGCUGCCCGCAGGCCCUGAAAACCAGUGGCGGGCUCGCUAGUCACACCGAGCGCAGUAGCACAUCUCGCUCAGGGCGUGCGGCGGGCUCCAGCCGUUAAAGCACCCACCUUUCGCAAGGUUGACCUCGGAUCAGGUAGGAUUACCCGCUGAACUUAAGCAUAUCAAUAAGCGGAGGA